Molecule: non-coding RNA, 45 nt
Filed under: Schistosoma mansoni
Lineage: Eukaryota; Metazoa; Platyhelminthes; Trematoda; Strigeidida; Schistosomatidae
Source: RNAcentral
AUCUAGCUGACGAGUCCCAAGUAGGACGAAACUCGCGUCCUGGAU